GUUAUAUCCUCGUGGAUGACAGUUGUUUCCGUUUCCCCCAACAUAUAUUGGGAUGGGUUUCCCUAUUGAGUUAUUUCCUCAUUAGGAUGAGUCUUGAUUCAGUUUGCCUUUUUGGUUUGAUCCUAAAUUGGCUCCUUUUUUACUGUCUCUUGUGUUUCCCUAUGGUAUAAAUGAAUAAAUUGCCCAAUAACCGGUAAUAGUUCAUCUUAUUCCCCAGCGGAGUUUGUGGC
Molecule: long non-coding RNA, 230 nt
Filed under: Lathyrus oleraceus (garden pea)
Lineage: Eukaryota; Viridiplantae; Streptophyta; Magnoliopsida; Fabales; Fabaceae
Description: Pisum sativum (pea) long non-coding RNA (PSAT_LNC022192)
Source: RNAcentral